This 378-nucleotide unclassified non-coding RNA is filed under the name Hevea brasiliensis (rubber tree). Lineage: Eukaryota; Viridiplantae; Streptophyta; Magnoliopsida; Malpighiales; Euphorbiaceae. The record is from RNAcentral.
AUCUCCAAAAUGAUUUGUAGAUAACUCUUGGUUGUAUAUGAACCAUCCAGUUUAAGUGUUGAGCCAGCAGCUGCGACUGCAUCUUUAUUAACCCCUUUAAUCUGUAAAUAGGGACUAGGGGCAUCUUUUAGAUGAUCAACCUCAACGAGAAUCUAAGAGUCAGAAACAAAUUUAAAUAUUUAGGCUACACCAAUAACAAGCAAUAAGAAAACAGAAACCAAGUUGCAUAAAAUGAUACAACAAUAGAGGCGCCAAAGCUAGGGAUUCGCCAAGCCACCAAGAAUCUUACUUAUAAUCAGUCUCAGCACAUCCCAACAAGCAAAACAUGGGUCAAAAAAUAUAUUAUAAUCAUCACUAUAAUAGCAACAACAAUUGAUG